Molecule: non-coding RNA, 466 nt
Organism: Prunus mume (Japanese apricot)
Lineage: Eukaryota; Viridiplantae; Streptophyta; Magnoliopsida; Rosales; Rosaceae
Source: RefSeq, a predicted model, not a curated record
GUGAAGGCAUCUGAGUUUUCUGAAGGCCAAGAGGAAGAGAAAGAUGAUACUAGAACUGGAGAGUCUGAUCCAGGCUUCAAAAUCGCAUCGAUGAUUUACCAGAGAAACCCUGCUGAUUUUAACAUGCCGGGAGUAGGAAACAGGUACAUGAUUAGAGGUGAAGACCUACAAUUUGGGAAGCAGAUUCCUUUUUCAAGGAGGCAUGGCUUAGUUAAAGUGGAUCAGCACAAGUGGCAGAGAAAUAUGAAAGCCCUCUACCAAAAAGGAAACGUAGAUACCACAUUGAAUUUGAGGAGGGAAAUUUUUUCCAAGAAAAGGCACGUGAAGUGGAUGAAGAGUCAAAUGAAAUGAUUCUUAGAACAAGAAAUGUUGAGACACAAGGAGAAAUAGUGCUCAACUUGCAUGGAAAAGUUUUCCAAGAAAAGACAAGUGAAGUAGAUAAUGAGUCAAAUGAAAUGAUUCUUAG